UUUUCAACAUAGCUGAGUAAGCAAUGAAGCUGUUAAAUUCGGUAAAGCGACGACUGGAGGAAUUGUGGGACGGAACGUCUUCAACCNAUCNUCAGACUGUCAAUGAGUAUGACGUCUCGCUUGCUUGAAUGAAGCAUAGACAUUGAAUGUGUGCUCCAAAUGGGCCAUUUCUGGUAAGCAGAACUGACGCUGUCGGGAUGAACGG
This 205-nucleotide non-coding RNA is filed under the name Onchocerca ochengi. RNAcentral describes it as "Eukaryotic large subunit ribosomal RNA". It matches the Rfam family "Eukaryotic large subunit ribosomal RNA", at positions 970 to 1170 of the family's 3401-position model. Lineage: Eukaryota; Metazoa; Nematoda; Chromadorea; Rhabditida; Onchocercidae. The record is from Rfam by way of RNAcentral.